AGACCCGAAACCCGGUGAUCUAGCCAUGGGCAGGUUGAAGGUUGGGUAACACUAACUGGAGGACCGAACCGACUAAUGUUGAAAAAUUAGCGGAUGACCUGUGGCUGGGGGUGAAAGGCCAAUCAAACCGGGAGAUAGCUGGUUCUCCCCGAAAGCUAUUUAGGUAGCGCCUCGUGAAUUCAUCUCCGGGGGUAGAGCACUGUUUCGGCUAGGGGGCCAUCCCGGCUUACCAACCCGAUGCAAACUGCGAAUACCGGAGAAUGUUAUCACGGGAGACACACGGCGGGUGCUAACGUCCGUCGUGAAGAGGGAAACAACCCAGACCGCCAGCUAAGGUCCCAAAGUCAUGGUUAAGUGGGAAACGAUGUGGGAAGGCCCAGACAGCCAGGAUGUUGGCUUAGAAGCAGCCAUCAUUUAAAGAAAGCGUAAUAGCUCACUGGUCGAGUCGGCCUGCGCGGAAGAUGUAACGGGGCUAAACCAUGCACCGAAGCUGCGGCAGCGAACGUAUCACUUAAAGCGAUUCAGCGGGUUACGAUUGACGGAGCGAAGCGACGUCAAAGCGUAUACAAAGUCGAGUCGGUUUAAGGAUACGUUCGUUGGGUAGGGGAGCGUUCUGUAAGCCUGUGAAGGUGUGUCGUGAGGCAUGCUGGAGGUAUCAGAAGUGCGAAUGCUGACAUAAGUAACGAUAAAGCGGGUGAAAAGCCCGCUCGCCGGAAGACCAAGGGUUCCUGUCCAACGUUAAUCGGGGCAGGGUGAGUCGACCCCUAAGGCGAGGCCGAAAGGCGUAGUCGAUGGGAAACGGGUUAAUAUUCCCGUACUUGGUGUUACUGCGAAGGGGGGACGGAGAAGGCUAUGUUGGCCGGGCGACGGUUGUCCCGGUUUAAGCGUGUAGGCUGGUUUUCCAGGCAAAUCCGGAAAAUCAAGGCUGAGGCGUGAUGACGAGGCACUACG
Molecule: ribosomal RNA, 951 nt
Filed under: Salmonella enterica subsp. enterica serovar Infantis
Lineage: Bacteria; Pseudomonadati; Pseudomonadota; Gammaproteobacteria; Enterobacterales; Enterobacteriaceae
Also listed under: 1 other name
Description: partial 23S ribosomal RNA
Rfam family: Bacterial large subunit ribosomal RNA
Source: RNAcentral